GUCGGGCACAGUGGCACAUGCCUGUAAUCCCAACAACUCGGGAGGCUGAGGCAGGAGGAACAUAGGUUCAAGGCCAGCCUUUGCAAUUUAGUGAGGCCCUAAGCAACUUAGUGAGAUCCUGUCUCAA
Molecule: small RNA, 127 nt
Filed under: Marmota monax (woodchuck)
Lineage: Eukaryota; Metazoa; Chordata; Mammalia; Rodentia; Sciuridae
Source: RNAcentral